ACCCUAUCCCAUUCCAACUGCUUUUCAACUUAGCUAUAGUUACAUUCAUGUUUCCAAAUAAUAGCGUAUACUAUUUCUUCAUUUGAUUGUUUUACUUUAGACAUCAACUGCAUUCCUAUUACAGUGUGUAACGCUUUAGCUGUCUAAUCACGAAUGCCACAACCCUACCACCCCUACCACUCUCUCCACAAUCAAUCCUCUCAAAAACCCAUCCACUAUUAUCACAAUUUGUGAUUAAAUCAAUUCUAUGUGUUUACAUUUAUUAUGACUAUGUAAAUAAUAUUAACGGCUGAGCUGUAAUUACAUCACAUUUCUAAUACUCGCUGGACUUAAUCAUACCAUCUUUUCUGUGCUUAGUUGUGUAUCUGUCACUAAUUCUCUCCAAAUGCUCUGAGAGACUGGCACAAUGUUCUUCAUAACAUGUUCCACACCAUCAAUAGCAUCAAAUAACCCAUCAUUUGCAUUCACCCACCCCUACCUCCCAGAGCCUUCAACUUGAACUGGUUGCUCCUUAACUUUGUUAUACAACUGUAGCCUUUCUAUGUCUUUCACUGUCAUCUUGUGUUGAAGUGCCCAUUUCCCAAAUUCCAUUAUCUUCCACUUUCUUUGCUUGUACAUCAAGUAGCUUCCUUAGAGCAAGUACAUAAGGGAUAAAUUUUGGAAGGACUCGCAUAUCUGAAAAUGUCUUUAUUCUAUCUUAGAUUUGAUAAGUUUGGUCUAGUUUGGAAACAAUUUUCCCUCAGAAGCCUGAAGAUACUUCUCUAUUGUUUUCUAGCUUUCAGUGCUGCUGUUGAGAAGUCUAAUACCUUCUUGACCCCAAUCCUCUGUAGGAGGAGACUUACUUUUUUCUUUCUGUUGUUGGAAUCUGCACCGUGCAAAGAUCAUCUGCAGAUUCAUC
This 898-nucleotide long non-coding RNA is filed under the name Homo sapiens (human). RNAcentral describes it as "HSALNT0097646". The record is from RNAcentral. Lineage: Eukaryota; Metazoa; Chordata; Mammalia; Primates; Hominidae.